GCCAGACUCCUACGGGAGGCAGCAGUGGGGGAUAUUGCACAAUGGGGGGAACCCUGAUGCAGCGACGCCGCGUGGGUGAAGAAGUAUUUCGGUAUGUAAAGCCCUAUCGGCAGGGAAGAAAUUGGACGGUACCUGACUAAGAAGCCCUGGGUAACUACGUGCCAGCAGCCGCGGUAAUACGUAGGGGGCAAGCGUUAUCCGGAUUCACUGGGUGUAAAGGGAGCGUAGACGGCCAUGCAAGCCUGGAGUGAAAGCCCGGGGCCCAACCCCGGGACUGCUCUGGGAACUGUGCGGCUGGAGUGCGGGAGGGGCAGGCGGAAUUCCUGGUGUAGCGGUGAAAUGCGUAGAUAUCAGGAGGAACACCGGCGGCGAAGGCGGCCUGCUGGACCGCGACUGACGUUGAGGCUCGAAAGCGUGGGGAGCAAACAGGAUUAGAUACCCGAGUA
This 446-nucleotide ribosomal RNA is filed under the name uncultured bacterium. RNAcentral describes it as "bacterial SSU rRNA". It matches the Rfam family "Bacterial small subunit ribosomal RNA", at positions 330 to 792 of the family's 1533-position model. The record is from RNAcentral.